UAGCUAAUCCUGGUCGGACAUCAGGAGGUUAGUGCAAUGGCAUAAGCUAGCUUGACUGCGAGCGUGACGGCGCGAGCAGGUGCGAAAGCAGGUCAUAGUGAUCCGGUGGUUCUGAAUGGAAGGGCCAUCGCUCAACGGAUAAAAGGUACUCCGGGGAUAACAGGCUGAUACCGCCCAAGAGUUCAUAUCGACGGCGGUGUUUGGCACCUCGAUGUCGGCUCAUCACAUCCUGGGGCUGAAGUAGGUCCCAAGGGUAUGGCUGUUCGCCAUUUAAAGUGGUACGCGAGCUGGGUUUAGAACGUCGUGAGACAGUUCGGUCCCUAUCUGCCGUGGGCGCUGGAGAAUUGAGGGGGGCUGCUCCUAGUACGAGAGGACCGGAGUGGACGCAUCACUGGUGUUCGGGUUGUCAUGCCAAUGGCACUGC
This 424-nucleotide ribosomal RNA is filed under the name Klebsiella pneumoniae. RNAcentral's name for it is "partial 23S ribosomal RNA". It matches the Rfam family "Bacterial large subunit ribosomal RNA", at positions 2318 to 2741 of the family's 2925-position model. Lineage: Bacteria; Pseudomonadati; Pseudomonadota; Gammaproteobacteria; Enterobacterales; Enterobacteriaceae. RNAcentral also lists the same sequence under 1 other name. The record is from RNAcentral.